Molecule: long non-coding RNA, 669 nt
Filed under: Hordeum vulgare
Lineage: Eukaryota; Viridiplantae; Streptophyta; Magnoliopsida; Poales; Poaceae
Description: long non-coding RNA (HVUL_LNC015693)
Source: RNAcentral
UAUAUAUGUGCAUUAAAUUAAAUAGCAAUAAUAUUGUGAUAUCCCCAGAUAUCCAUGUUGUCACAUGGAAACAACCUGCACCUACAACUAACAACGAUAUAAGAAGGGAUGAGCAAGCGGUAACUUAGCCAAACAAUGGUUUGUUGGGAAGUUCGAGGGGUUAGAGGCCUAUCAUGGCAUUUUCGGGAGCCCUUACAAACUAGUGGUGGGAAGCAAUACAUAGCAAUAGAAACGAUACAACUAGAAUGACAAUGAUAGUACUGAUAUCGAGGGAAAUUGUCAUCUUACCUAAGAUCCUGCUUGGAACAAGAACAAAUGUGUGAAGUACGCGAACGGAGUGUAGUCGAACUAGUCCUCACACUCCGAACACUUUUGAAACUUUAGCAAGGAGAAGAAAAUCCAGAAACAAUCAAAUGAGAUGGUAAACACCACAACAUUUUCUUGGCAUGAUGCGCAAACAAAUGUGAUGCAUGUUUGGUUUAAAUAGGCAUAGCAUGCCCGAUGUAACAAUCAAAUACUACAAAUUAAGUGAAGCUCAAUAUGCAUCGAUUGCAUAGUGACAAAACUCCACGAUCAAUUUAUUUAGUUCACUCACAUUUAUGUACUCAACAAUUUAAAUGUUGUUAAGCAUGGCAAGUGGUGAAGCAUGAAUAUACUACACAUUUAGGC